UACAGAGGUCUCAAGCGUUGUUCGGAUUCAUUGGGCGUAAAGGGUGCGUAGGCGGCGCGGUAAGUCGGGUGUGAAAUCUUGGAGCUUAACUCCGAAACUGCAUUCGAUACUGCCGUGCUUGAGGACUGGAGAGGAGACUGGAAUUUACGGUGUAGCGGUGAAAUGCGUAGAGAUCAUGAGGAAGACCAGUGGCGAAGGCGGGUCUCUGGACAGUUCCUGACGCUGGGGCACGAAGGUCAGGGGAGCAAACGGG
RNAcentral lists this ribosomal RNA (253 nucleotides) under uncultured bacterium. RNAcentral describes it as "partial 16S ribosomal RNA". It matches the Rfam family "Bacterial small subunit ribosomal RNA", at positions 524 to 776 of the family's 1533-position model. The record is from RNAcentral.